Long non-coding RNA from Ananas comosus (pineapple), 759 nucleotides. RefSeq lists it as uncharacterized. The transcript has 6 exons. The record is from RefSeq and is a predicted model, not a curated record. NCBI's taxonomy places the organism in Eukaryota, Viridiplantae, Streptophyta, Magnoliopsida, Poales, Bromeliaceae.
CUGCAGCUGCGUGGCAGCAGGGUUACUUUGGUCUUUUCACCUCCCAUACUUAUCCCCAACACCCCAGCACGACCCCAGGAGCUGAGGUAUGGUUGCUCGAGCUCAGGGUAUCAUCUUCUCCACUCUCUCUCUCUAGGGUUCUCUCUCUCUACGAGUAAAGUCGCCGUUUGCGCCGAUUUCGCGCCGCUCUCGUCGCUCGCUAUUUAGGUGGACUUAGGGCCAGCUUUUAAAAGGGAUUCCAGCAGCUAGAGGUGAGAUUUUUAGCUGUGAAUUGACCCCCUUAGACCAGGGAUGAUCUAAUUUGAAGCUUGCUUGAGCAUGUUUCUAAACCUUAUUGAAUCGAAUUGGUGAUCUUGGGAACUGGUUUGGAAGAUGUUCUAACAAGGGCGAGAAUUCAACUGACCUUUGGGUCAUCUUUGGUUUGCUUUGGGAAGCCUUUCGAGACUUAAUUUGAGCGGAGUUGAGAUCUAUUGGAGUUGACUGUGGGACAUAGUAAUAGAGCCAGCUACUGGAGAGGUUGGGGAUCGUGGCAAAGGAGUCUCGUCUAGCUAGACAUUGCUAGGAGCAUGCUAGUCGAUCACCUUGUUACUCGGGCUACGGCCGAGGGUGAUGUCCCUAUGUAUAGAGAGACUACCAUUGUAUCUAAUUUUUGUUUACCCGUGUUGUAUAUUUGCUAUUUGGACCGAGAAUUACAGUUGUGAUACUUCUCUUCUGUCGAGAUUUUUGGAUUGUAUGUUUUUGUUCUUUUGCUUAUAGUAU